RNAcentral lists this ribosomal RNA (1080 nucleotides) under uncultured Basidiomycota. Its description in RNAcentral is "eukaryotic LSU rRNA". The stretch from base 646 to 1080 matches the Rfam family "Eukaryotic large subunit ribosomal RNA", at positions 1 to 429 of the family's 3401-position model. Lineage: Eukaryota; Fungi; Basidiomycota. The record is from RNAcentral.
CUUGGUCAUUUAGAGGAAGUAAAAGUCGUAACAAGGUUUCCGUAGGUGAACCUGCGGAAGGAUCAUUAGUGAAUUCAAACUUCUAGAAAGGUGUCAAAGCCCGACUAGUGCAUCGGGUGUCCCUCGUGAUGCCCGGUGUGGAACCACUUUCCUUAACACCUGUGAACUGUCUGUCAGGCCCAUCGCUCUUCGGGGCGUGGACUUGCACAUUACAAACUUACUCUGUAAAAAAUGUCGAAAUACAAAAACAAAAUAAAACUUUUAACAACGGAUCUCUUGGCUCUCGCAUCGAUGAAGAACGCAGCGAAAUGCGAUAAGUAAUGUGAAUUGCAGAAUUCAGUGAAUCAUCGAAUCUUUGAACGCAAAUUGCGCUCCUUGGUAUUCCGAGGAGCAUGCCUGUUUGAGUGUCAUGAAAUCAUCCACCUCACCUUUGGGCUUUUGUCCGAGGGUCCGGCUGGGACUUGGGUGUUUGCGCGGCGAUGAGCCCCGCUCACCUUAAAAACAUUGUAGUGAUCUUGCCUGUUGGCCGGCUUGACUUGGCGUUAUAAAUUAUUUCGCUGAGGACACUCGCAAGGGUGGCCGAUUGACUGCUUGGUCUCGUCUCAAAGUGCUCCACACUUACAGAGACUACAACUUCUUGACAUCUGGCCUCAAAUCAGGUAGGACUACCCGCUGAACUUAAGCAUAUCAAUAAGCGGAGGAAAAGAAACUAACAAGGAUUCCCCUAGUAACGGCGAGUGAAGCGGGAAGAGCUCAAAUUUGAAAUCUGGUGGACUUCGUUCAUCCGAGUUGUAAUCUAGAGAAGUGUUUUCCGUGCCGGCCAAUGUACAAGUCCCUUGGAACAGGGCGUCAUAGAGGGUGAGAAUCCCGUACUUGACAUUGACCACCGGUGCUCUGUGAUACACUUUCGACGAGUCGAGUUGUUUGGGAAUGCAGCUCAAAAUGGGUGGUAAAUUCCAUCUAAAGCUAAAUAUUGGCGAGAGACCGAUAGCGAACAAGUACCGUGAGGGAAAGAUGAAAAGCACUUUGGAAAGAGAGUUAAACAGUAUGUGAAAUUGUUAAAAGGGAAACGCUUGAAGU